UUGUUUUCUUCAUUAGCACAUACAUAAAAACUGGAAGGAUACAGAGAAGAUUAGCUAUGGUGACUGCCUGCACAAGGAUGACGUGCAAAUUCAAGACAUUCCAUAUUUUA
Mustela putorius furo (domestic ferret) is the source of this 110-nucleotide small nuclear RNA. Lineage: Eukaryota; Metazoa; Chordata; Mammalia; Carnivora; Mustelidae. The record is from Ensembl.